Molecule: ribosomal RNA, 466 nt
Filed under: uncultured bacterium
Lineage: Bacteria
Description: partial 16S ribosomal RNA
Rfam family: Bacterial small subunit ribosomal RNA
Source: RNAcentral
GAUGAACGCUGGCGGCGUGCUUAACACAUGCAAGUCGAACGAUGAAGCCCAGCUUGCUGGGUGGAUUAGUGGCGAACGGGUGAGUAACACGUGAGUAACCUGCCCUUGACUCUGGGAUAAGCCUGGGAAACUGGGUCUAAUACUGGAUAUGACUUCUCAUCGCAUGGUGGGGGGUGGAAAGAUUUAUUGGUCUUGGAUGGUCUCGCGGCCUAUCAGCUUGUUGGUGAGGUAAUGGCUCACCAAGGCGACGACGGGUAGCCGGCCUGAGAGGGUGACCGGCCACACUGGGACUGAGACACGGCCCAGACUCCUACGGGAGGCAGCAGUGGGGAAUAUUGCACAAUGGGCGCAAGCCUGAUGCAGCGACGCCGCGUGAGGGAUGACGGCCUUCGGGUUGUAAACCUCUUUCAGUAGGGAAGAAGCGAGAGUGACGGUACCUGCAGAAGAAGCGCCGGCUAACUACGUG